UCAAUAAUGCCGUCAAGAUGUUCGACGCUUUGUCCAAAGAUGGCCUAACACAUGAGGCCUUGGAGCUUUUCUCUCAGAUCAAGGACAAGGGACAUAUGCCUGACGUGGUGGCCCACACUGCCGUCGUUGAGGCUUAUGCCAAUGCCGGUCAGUCCAAGGAGGCUCUCAAGGUCUUCCUGCGCAUGCUGGCCUGCGGAGUUGCUCCUAAUGCAUAUACUUACACCCUCCUCAUUAAGGCACUUGCUGCUGAUGGGAAACUAGCGGAUGCCAAUAAAUAUAUCUUGGAAAUGAUGAGCAAGGGAAUGCGUCCCAAUGCUGCUACAUACGCUGCAGUGUUUGAGGCAUAUGCAAAGGAGCAGAAGGAGG
Molecule: unclassified non-coding RNA, 366 nt
Filed under: Hevea brasiliensis (rubber tree)
Lineage: Eukaryota; Viridiplantae; Streptophyta; Magnoliopsida; Malpighiales; Euphorbiaceae
Source: RNAcentral